GAACGGGUGAGUAAUACAUCGGAACGUGUCCUGUAGUGGGGGAUAGCCCGGCGAAAGCCGGAUUAAUACCGCAUACGCUCUGCGGAGGAAAGCGGGGGAUCUUAGGACCUCGCGCUACAGGGGCGGCCGGUGGCAGAUUAGCUAGUUGGUGGGGUAAAGGCCUACCAAGGCGACGAUCUGUAGCUGGUCUGAGAGGACGACCAGCCACACUGGGACUGAGACACGGCCCAGACUCCUACGGGAGGCAGCAGUGGGGAAUUUUGGACAAUGGGCGCAAGCCUGAUCCAGCAAUGCCGCGUGUGUGAAGAAGGCCUUCGGGUUGUAAAGCACUUUUGUCCGGAAAGAAAACGUCCUGGUUAAUACCCGGGGCGGAUGACGGUACCGGAAGAAUAAGCACCGGCUAACUACGUGCCAGCAGCCGCGGUAAUACGUAGGGUGCAAGCGUUAAUCGGAAUUACUGGGCGUAAAGCGUGCGCAGGCGGUUCGCUAAGACAGAUGUGAAAUCCCCGGGCUUAACCUGGGAACUGCAUUUGUGACUGGCGGGCUAGAGUAUGGCAGAGGGGGGUAGAAUUCCACGUGUAGCAGUGAAAUGCGUAGAGAUGUGGAGGAAUACCGAUGGCGAAGGCAGCCCCCUGGGCCAAUACUGACGCUCAUGCACGAAAGCGUGGGGAGCGAAUGGGAUUAGAUACCCCAGUAGUCCUAGCCGUAAACGAUGGAUACUAGGCGUUGUGCGUAUCGACCCGUGCAAUGCUGUAGCUAACGCGUUAAGUAUCCCGCCUGGGGAGUACGUUCGCAAGAAUGAAACUCAAAGGAAUUGACGG
Molecule: ribosomal RNA, 821 nt
Filed under: uncultured Burkholderia sp.
Lineage: Bacteria; Pseudomonadati; Pseudomonadota; Betaproteobacteria; Burkholderiales; Burkholderiaceae
Description: bacterial SSU rRNA
Rfam family: Bacterial small subunit ribosomal RNA
Source: RNAcentral